Molecule: unclassified non-coding RNA, 85 nt
Filed under: Aquifex aeolicus
Lineage: Bacteria; Pseudomonadati; Aquificota; Aquificia; Aquificales; Aquificaceae
Description: putative small non-coding RNA
Source: RNAcentral
ACCCCCUUUAGGUAAAAAUUUUUUUAUUUUUAAAAGGAUUCUGUUUAUAGAAAGGUGGUGGGCUGCCCGGGACUCGAACCCGGAA